Capsella rubella is the source of this 406-nucleotide long non-coding RNA. RefSeq lists it as uncharacterized. The record is from RefSeq and is a predicted model, not a curated record. The transcript is spliced from 2 exons. Lineage: Eukaryota; Viridiplantae; Streptophyta; Magnoliopsida; Brassicales; Brassicaceae.
AAAACUCUUCUACUUCUACCUCUUCUUCAUUCUCGGCUUUGUCCUCAUAUUCUUUUUUUUUUUUGUUUCUUUCAAAUCAGAGGAAGCUAACCAUACUCAACAAUGACAGUUAGGACCGAGAAUCUCCCUCAAUCCAAUCCGCCUUUGAUGAAAUUACUGAAACACUGAUAUAAGUGAAAGUGAGAGAAACUCAUCAUCUUCCUUAAACACUACCUCACAACGUCGUCGCCGUCACUGCACGUCACAGCCGGAGUUUCAUGCGCAGCCGCUCUAUAGAUCUGUACCAAAACCCUAAUAUGUUACUGGGCUAGACUAUUAAUUUUGUGUUGGAUUUUUGUUAAUUGUAUAUUGGACCUUUAUUGGAUAUGAUUUUCAUUAUAUUGUGUAAGUUUUUUUUUCUCUAGUA